Molecule: unclassified non-coding RNA, 10470 nt
Filed under: Leishmania donovani
Lineage: Eukaryota; Euglenozoa; Kinetoplastea; Trypanosomatida; Trypanosomatidae
Description: gene:LdHU3.07.1310(CDS-product:hypothetical_prote in_conserved)
Source: RNAcentral
AUCAGCUUCACCAACCCACCCAACGGCCGCUCUCUCCUUUUGUAUUCCCAGAAGGAGCGCUGGGCUGAAACUUCUCUUCCACCGGCUUUGCCGACUCACUUCGCCACGCGCACACAAGCACACGUCUCUUGCGUUGCCACCUCGUCGUCUUCGCUCCGUGAGCACCGACUCUGUGGCACAGCGACGACCGACCCAAUCGAGCCGAUCAGUCCGCCAGUGGACUUGCGCACGUGUGUCGACACACACCCACGUACGCACUUCAUACGUACACAUCCACAUACGCGCCGGGAGCCUCGGUGGUGGGUGUAGGAGGAGGAGGGGGGCGCCGUCACACUCGUCAGCCCCUGUCCUUCCUCCGGCUUGUAUACAGGAAGUGAACAAAACAGAAACAAAGGGUUCCCCUGCUUCCCCCUCGCUCCCUCCGUCUCUUCAUCAGUCUCCAAAUUUCUUGUGCCGAAGAAGAUUGCCUGGCGAGCCUGUGCUCCCGCGAUCACGUGCUCGUCGCCGGCAUUCGCCUUGUGCUCGAUCCCGCUUGAUCGACGUGUGGGCCGGGUGGUUUUGGUGCCACCGCCGCUGCUGCCGUUGUCUUCUCCCCUUUUCGCGUUGUUAUUUUCUUGUGUGUGUGUGUGUGUGUGUGCGUGUGCGUGUGUGGAGGGGUAUCGGCCGGCGUUGUGGCACGCCCCCCGCCGCCUCCUUCCUCCUCCUUUUCAUUUUCUGCGCCGUGUAUGUUUUUGUUUAUCAUCUCCCCCCCCUCCGCUCGCCUCCUCACGUUCGUGUCUCCUCCCCCUCUCCUGUACGCCCACUUUGCCACCGACCACACCCGCCCCGCCCCGUCCACUCUCUCUGCGUGCCGUUGUGUGCGCCUGUCUUCGGUGCCCCGCCUCCGCGGCUUGCUCUUCGAUCUCCUCUCAUCUCUUUUUCCUCUGUUCGCUCCCUCGCCCCCUUUUGACGUGGAUCGUCUCCACUGUUCAUCGUGUCUCUCGUCAUUACCUGUGCGCUGAGCAGGCCCCCAUCCGCUUCCCCCUUCCUCUGUCUCUCCCUCUCUCUGCGUGCGCGUGUGUGCGCCUGCUGGGGUUUCGCUCUUCUCAUCGUCUUUACUUUUUUUUUUUGCGGCUCGCCUAGUCUGCUCUCCUCCCCUCGAUCACGCUGUUUGGCUUUCCUGUGCUGUGUUCCUAUAAUUCGUUUUGGGGAUCGAGUCGAUACAGCCUACGUUGGUGUUUUCGUGGCCGUGGUGGUGCUGGCUGUCCCUCCCUCCCCCCUUCCCUUCCCUUCCCUUCCUUUUGCCUCACGCCUUGACGCGCUCACAGGCACGCAGAUACACUGCAACCCUUUUUUCUGUAGAUGUAUGUACUGAUACCCUGCCGCCGCCCCCGUCUCCUCCUACAUUGCUGUGCAUAUCUCACCCGCUUUCUUAUAGCAAGUUGUCAUGUAUAUCAAUCUCUCCCCCUCUCUUUCUUCUUUCUUGUCGUGCGCUUCUCUCCCUUUUCAUUGUCUGCGCGUAUCGCGCUCCGCGCGCGGCUCAAGCAUCACUGCCACGUCCCCACUAUUCUCCUGUCGUCGUGCUCUCCGUUUUCUCCGCGCGUUCGUGCGUGCGUGAGCACACGUGUCUCCCCUUCCGCUGUGUGUGAACGCGCGCGCUUGCAAACACGGCAACGUUGAAGAUGUGUGCGCAGUGAUGGUAGACUACCACGACACAACUUUUCCUUUUUCCCUUGGCGUGCUCUCACACGGGGGCAAAUCGCCAAGCGAGCGAGCGUGGCAGGCAGACACACACACACACACACACACAUACAUACGUGUCAGCGCAAGAAGUCCCUGGCGCGGUGCCGGUGCGCUUCUCGCCUUUUCGUUUCUUGCUUUUCGGCAGUGCAUCCGUUGCGCUCUAUACACCUAUCCUCUCGCUUGCUUCUCGUGUGCCGGUCCGGCAUUGCCGCACCGGCGAGGAUCGCAGCAGCAGGCUAGAACACAGCUAGGGAACGCAUGACUUACGUCAUCAUGAGCUCUUCCGCUUCUCCACUUGCCUCCUCAGCCCUUGCCGUGGGCCGAUCCUCGCCCAAUGACCGACCGCUGCUACCCUCUCCAUCCACCGCCGGUGCCUCCGCGGAGUACGCCGGCGCGCUCGCGAGGGCGGCGGCACCCUGUAACUCAUUGUCCCUGAAGUCAUCGUCGCAGUUGAUCAUCACACAACAACCCGAGCGGCCGCUGCGAGCAAGACCGCCCACGCCACCGUCGGUGGCGCAGGACCCCCGCGCGGGCGGCACUGCCGUCGCGGAUGAGCAAACACAACGGACAGAGCUGCUGGCGCUGAUCGCGCGGCUCAGCAGGUCGCUUAUGCCCGCCACAGAACGGCUUAUUCGACUCCGCAGCGCUCUCAGGGCGCUACAGGAGCAGCUCGUCGUCACCAUUCCACCCGCCGCGGUCGUCACCGCAACGGGUGGCGCCUCCGCCGGUGCGUCCAUCUCCUCCGUGAGCAUGUCGGAUACAAGUGUGUCUCCGCGCCUGUGCGUGGCGGGGACGUCGUACCCCGACAUGGAAGCGGUGCUCUAUUUUCUCGCCCACCGCGAUCCGCCGUUGCAGCGGUGCGGAACCUGCUCUGGAGCGGUUGGAGGCGCGAGUGGCGGCCGUCCUCCCACGCCGUGCACCGGGAUGCUCGUCUCCCCGCACGCGUCACCGUCUAGCAGCGUGCCGCGUAGGUGGUCGCGGCUUGAGUCUGGUGCUGGUGGCGCAGGGACGAACGCCAUGGCCUCGAGCACCGCCACCGGUGUCUCCGCCAGUGGGCUGUGGCAGACCAGCGCCAUUGGCUUCGGCGACGCCUCCUGCCCAUCGUCGCCGUCGGCGCCAUCUUUUCGAUUCCCCUCCACCCCACCGUUGGCGCCGACGCUCAUGCCCGUCACACAUGCGACGGUGCACGACUCCGCGUCCCUCAGCGGGGCCAGUAACCGCCACAGUCCGGUGAUGACAGACUCGCCAUCGCUUGAUCAGCUAACGCUGCCCACGAUGCAUGCGCGCGUUGCAUGUGGCGUACACCAUGGCAGCAUGCAGGUGUCGCGGGACAACGCGACUAUUCCACCUCACCUUCUACAGACCACCCCCCCGCUGCCGCUGCCUGCCACGGUGCCCGCGACAGGGACGACGACGACGAUGAGCGCCGCAAGCACUGGCGCAGCCGCUGUGUGCGCUGACGGUGGCAGCGUUGCAGGGCGUCUACUGGCCGCCCCCACUGCCCACAACCUACAUCCGCACCGCACCCUUUCCCCUUACCCGCCGCCCUCGAGCGUCGCCAGCGGCAGUCCGCAGGUUGCGACACCGCCACCUCCGUUGCCCGCAGCGCCGGCAAACCACCACGUGCGUCGGGUGCGCUCGACGACAUCGCUGGAGCUCCACACGUCUGGCGGCUCGCCCUCCGGCGCGGUGACGAAGGAUGCCGAGGCACCGAGCUACGAGUCGCGGACGCAGCCGCCGUCGCAGAUGGUGCCCCGCGACGCCACUUCGCCGGUGGAAGUCGCCAGCGAAGGUGGUGACGGGAGCAUGUCGGCCGGGUCCAUGAGCCUCUCCUCCACUAUGCCUGACCUUCCCGCUACCCCACCGCCGCCACUGCCCGGGUUCACCACACUGGAGGUGAGUGGUGCUUCAUGGCGUACCUCAUCGCCGCAACCUGCUACUUCCACGGUGGUCUCGCUACCGUCGCCAACACUUCAGGGCAUUGUCUUGCCAGGGGCGGAUAACUACGCGGCUGGGGCCCCCAACGGCGCCCUUGUCGCGAGCUUCCGGAGCAGAACGGGAAGCAGGCAUGCCUGCGCUGGUGCCUUUCCUUCGCCUGCUGGCGAGUCUCCGGCGCCGCCGACGCCCAUCAUGAUCAACUCACUUCCGCGCACGUCUUCGCAGUCCACGGAGGUGAGCGAGCAGCUGCAUCGCUACCGCCAGUCGCUGCUCGGCAGCUCCCUGCCGCCUGGCACGGCGCGCUUCACCACGCUGCCAACGCCAUUUAUGUCGCGGGUGGGGGCAGGCAUGCAGAGCAGCGGAGCCCGCAGCCUUCGCGAGGACUCCGCCGUUCUCUCGCGCGCCUCCUCCUUCACUCCACCAGCGAUGCGGUUUGUGCAGCGGGUGCGGCGCCGCAUGCUGACACUCAGUCAGAUGCAGCUGCAGCUUUCUGCCUGGGACCUCUUCCACACAGACCACAUCGGUGGUCGCUCUCAGGCGGCACUGCAGGUCACUGCCGCGGCGUCUGUCGUCACAAGCCCAGCCGUCUCACUGACCUCUGCAGCGCAAGGUGGUUGGCGGGCGAAGAAUGAGCCGGAAAGCCGUGGGAGCAGCAGCGAAAGCAAGUCGAGCAACUCUCGGUACCAGGAGUACUCACAGCACUCGUGUGGUGUCCACGCGAUGUCGGAGAUGCCGCAGCAGGUGCUACUGGGCCCCCACUGGCUGUUGAGCGUGAGCGAGGACGGCUUCUUGCGCUACGAGCCGCUGCCGUCCGCUGCGCAGCCGCCGCCGUACAUGCAAUCCCCGCCGGUGGCCACCACUGCUGAUUUUGCCUUCCUCUGUGUACCAUACGAGGCGCUCGCGCGCGUCAUAGGGGCAGAGGUGGGCCACCACAGCCAUAUCAGCACGAGCGGUCCGUUCGGUGUCAGCGCCGGCGGCGUCGGUGUAACCGUCAGUGGUGACGGCGCGCUUGAGGAGGUGGCGGCGGUGCUCGACGUCCUUUUUGGUCUCUUCAGCGGCUCCAGGCAGCAGCACUCGCCAGCACACCAGCAGCGGCGGCCGCCGCACCGUGGCGCGACAGGAGCAAAGUCGAGCCUCUUGACAGUGAACAACGGCGGCGGCGGCGCCACCAUUUCCACCGCACACAUACACUCUAGUAGCCCUCCCGUGCAAGAAGGCGAGGAGCCGCUGCCGCAGCCGAUGGUGUGCGCUGGCGGCGACAACGACGGGCAGCGUACUUGGCGGGACAAGCGACAUGCGGAGGCCUGCUCCAACUCCUACCCGCAGGCCACCGCUAGACCUAUCAUCGACACCGCCGGGGGAAGGGGCGGCCAUGGUGAUGCGAUGACCUCGCCCGAGGUCCACUCCCCCGAGGCUUCAUCGCCACGAAUGCGAGUCUCCAAGGCACGCAUGUCCACGGCUGCCGACUUCCCGUUGUUCAUCUCGAAGCGGAUGCAACCUGCGGGAUGCCUCGACAACGACAUUUCCCUCUUGCCGCAUCAUAGUCACGUCGUGCCGGGGCUGCCAGCUUCCUUGACCGAGGAUUGGCUGCUGCCGCUGCGUCAAGUCCUUGUCGAUCGCACGAUCUUCCUCCUUGUCAAGCCGGACAGUGAAGAGGCGCCGGCGUCGAGCCUGCGUCGUGCGAACGCGAGGUGUAGCGCCGAGGACUCGGACGGCGCCAUGAACGAACGGGUAGUGCAGCGGUUUCUGUGGUUUGCGAAGACGCGCUAUGGAGUCACGGUGCAGCCGUGGCGCGUCAUCACCUUCAGCUACCGCGAUGCGACGCGAGCUCGCAACGUGAUGCUGGCUGUCUACGGGCAGCGACUCCGUAGGAAGCAGCAGCAACACGGGCAGAGCGCCAACUGGCGGCCGACUUCGGAGACGCUGUCACAGGCGCAUCCGACCAGUGGUGCCGGCGAGGACGAUAUGGGGGGCAACGCCACUCCAGCCGAUGGCGCUGAUGUGCGCGUUGCAUCUACCGCAUCGCCCGUCCCCCGCAGCGGCUGCUCCGUCUCCCCACUUGAGUCUUCGUGCGUGACAGCUGGCUUGCCUGCGAUCCCCACCCCUGGCGGGGCGCAGACGCCGCCCGGUGCAUCCCUCAUGUCAACCUCGCGGCUCACACUAACGUCUUUGGUUGGCGGAAGCGAGUGGCGUCGUGGUCGCAAUGACGGUGCGAGUCGGCCGCACGACGACGAGGGUGGUCAGCAGGAGCUUUCAGACGCCUUCUACACGUUGUUGACACAGGAUUUGAGCGUUCAGCCGCUGUCGACGGCGCUGGAGGAGUACAGACCGUUGCUGGAGUGCCACGCUGCGACGCAGAUGUCUGCGCAGUACGGUGCGAGUGCGGGGGCGGCCUUGACAUCACCAGCCGCUGGCAUCUGCUCUCAGGCAAGCUGCGCAGGCGGGAUGGGUCCCGCCACAAGUGCGAUUGACGAGGGUGAGCAAGCCCGUGUUGACGCCGCCCGCCGGCUCUCAGGUGCGGCGGGCUCCGUCCCCGCCAUCGAGGGCCCCGCCACGGGGGACGUGAGUGACGAAGGCGUGGACGCUGCAGCGGCGGCGGCGUGCAAGCACGCGCAGGAGGUGGUGUGGCGCGCCAGCGGUGCCGCGGGCGUGAGCAGCGCUCUUCGGUACUUCCAGCACGCUGCGGUCGCGCAUCGCGUGGGGCGGGCGGCGCUUCCGGUGAUGAUGUGGUCGUGGCAGCUAUACUCGCUGCUGCCGGUCGUUAUUAAAGACGCGCAGUCGCGCCGCAAUCGACUGCGGCACAACAGUCGUCACUGCCAGCACAAACUGAAGGGGGUGCAGCGAAGCAUCACGUUACACUUGGAUGCCAGCCCGGCCAAGAACGUGGCGGCGCUGGAGGUGCGACUGCAGGCGGGGUUCAAAGAAAUGGCGCAGCGGUUUUUGCGAGACCUCCGUCGACUGUUCAUCUCGACAGCCUCGGCAGCGACGACUGCUGCAUUCUCGCCCGUCUCAAAGGUUUCGGCGCCGUCGUGGUCAGCGACAGGCGCACCAGGGCACGGGCAGCGACAGCAGCAGACGCUGCCCUUCGCACCACUGGAUGCACUGCUGGUGUACGACUCACCGGGCCUGCGAGAGGCGUACCAGCGCCUCGCUCGGGCGGCGCUUCGAUUCCACGCCUUCUACCUCGCAGGGUACUUCGCCUUCGAUGUACGAAUGCCAAGUCAGCCCUCGCGCACGGGCUACGAUGCAGCCCUCGAGAGAAAGCUCUCGCAGUCGCCACGGCCCAUAUCCGUGUACGAGCAGCGCUACGCCGCUCUCCGGGAGGCUGUGUGUCUCUCGCAGCUGCAGCUGAGGACGCCGCUGCGGAUGCUCAACGACCUCAACGUCGCCCCACCCGACGAGUCGUGCACCCGACCUGGCACUUCCUCCCCAGCGGUGCUGCUGCCGCCGCCACCGCCCACGCGAGCGGUCAACCCUGCCACCAAAACGCCGACAACUUCUGCUGUUCGACUGACCCCGUCAGGCAGUGCGGCACGAACGCCGACAACUACAAAGAGCGAGGCCGAAGAGACGCCGAUGCCGAAGGUGGAACUGCGGCCCAACUCCCGCCGCCGCUGCAGCUCCCGCAUCACGAGCGCGGCAGGCUCAGCAGCCUCGCUGGUGAAGGAGUCCUCACCGCUGCGACCUGUAAGGCGGAGAGAGCCAUCUGCCGCGCCUCCCAGAGUGUCCGUCGAAGGCGGCAGCGAUGAACGACUAUCGCAGCGGUCGUUCUUGUCACCGUCGUUUCUCGCUUCCGCUGCACGGGAGGUCGUUGCUGCCGCGGCGUCUUCGAGUGUUGCGAGCACGGAGCUAACAGCUACGAAGAACGGCAUGGACCCUGUAAGUGGCGUGCCUGGACAGGAGCGUGGGACACGGGGAAUGUCUUCAGAGCCAGCGGCAGACGAGCGUGCAGACGGCGACGGCACUCCCCGACUCAGUCUCGAGGAACUGCAGCAGCGGCGCGUUGCCAUGGAGCAUCAGCUCAUUGCGCAUGUCUCGCAGAUCAACACAGAGAUCAUCAACUUCCUGCUCGCCACUUGUGUGGCUGCCGUGCCGCAACUGCAGCGGGACUGUGUAGGUGCAGAGCUGGCGCGGGUGAAGGACGCGCAAGCGGAGAUUGUGUCGAGCUUCACGACGGCGGUGCGCGGCCGCAAAGACGCCGCCAUCGCGAUGUCUCACCUCUACGCCCGGCUCGAGGAGUGGAGCGCAGAAAUGUCACACCUCGUGUCGGUUGUGCGGUCGCGGCCAUAUCUCGAAAAGUUUAUAACGCAGCUGCGCGCGGUUCUGUGCGAGGAUCAGGUGCGCGCCCUCGCAGUCUUUCGCUGCGACAGCGGGGAUGGGCAAGACUCUGGCGCCGCGGCGUGGCAGACGCCGCAGGUAGAUGACACUUCGCCGUCGCCAUCCAGUGCAGCAACGAAGGCGCAUCGCGGGAUCUAUGCGACUGCGGUACGUCUACCUCUGACAAGUACUAGAGCAAGCGCCAGUGCUAGCGGUGGCUUGCGGGACAGCACGCUGAAAGGGUCGGCAGAGCAGCACGCCGCCGCACCUAGUCCGAGCGGCACCCCUUGCGCCUGCGCCUCGAAGUCCUUGGCAGCGGAGGUGGGCUACCGGUCUGCCAGGAUGCUGCGCUACUAUACUCGCCUCGCCUGCAAGCGGCGUGGCUCCAGCGGCAGCGACAAACUCUCCGACACCAGCAUGGCUGCCAACGCCCAGCGCAGCGGUGUGUUCGGCGAAAUGCUAGCAUCCCCGUCGCCUUCCCGGUCGCUGCGCUCCAUCCAGGGCGUCAACUCAACGUUGACGUCGCCACACUGCAGUUCACGCAUGAAAGGCGGUGGCGGCGGUGGGCAUGGAGCAUUGGGCUUGAGCGUUUCGCUGUCCAGCAUGUCGGCCGCGUGGAGUCGGGAGGAGGCGUGCUUGCGUGUCGAGGGCGGUGCCCGAACGCUGCGCGUUUAUGACGCCGAUGACGCGAAGGCCGCGGCGUUCGCCUUUUUUGCCUCCCCGACGCAGCCGGUCAUAUCGGCUGUGGCCGCAGAGGUGCUCGCGAUGCUGGAGGUGAUGAGGCGGGAGCCCCUUCGCUCCCCAUUGUCCCCCUCGGCGCCACAAGCUGUGGUCGGUGCCGAAUCAAGGGGUGCUGCGCGAGACGGAGCCGCAUCGCCGGCCACGCCGGCAGCAGCACCGGCGCACCGCUCCGUCGAUGCAGAUGGCAGCGCGUGGCAGAAGCGGCUGACGCAGUGGCGCUCCGCCAUGGCGGACGCGGAGAGGCCGGCCGAUGAUGCCUCUGCGGCGCCACUGUUGUGGAUUGUUCUGGACACGUGGGAUGAGACGCUGCUCCGCAUGCCCUAUGGACUGCUGCUGCAGCUGGACACACCCAGCUACGCCGAGUCUCUCAACCGCAUGAGCGAUGAGCUCUUGAACACGCAGGAGAGCUGGAAGAGUAACUGCGAAGACGUGCUGGCGAGGAUCCAGCGGCAGCUACAUGCACUGGAGGUGGAUCUCAACAAGAUCUGUGAUGACCGUGGUGAGGCGCGCGCCGAGUACGUGCGGGAAUUGCGGGCGGUGUUUGAUGCAGCUUCCGUCCUCAUCGCUUCCCGCGAUGACCCUGCGAUGAGCGCAUGUCCGUUUUGUGAGUUGCCAGGCAGCACUAGAGCAGGUCUUCGGGCGUGAAUGGGGCGACGGGCGGGUGGGACCACGCGGGAAGAGGCGGACUGUACCACACAAGCUGUCUCCUUCACGCCCCUUUCUCGCUUGCACCUUUCGGGUACAGUGAACUUGUCUGGGUCUCUCUCUCGGUGGGCGUCUCUGUCGAUGGCACUGCUUCGCACGGUGCCGGCACCGGCUUUCUCCUUUAUUGCUGUCUAUGUCUCUUUCCUCCAUCUGCUGAGGACGUUUUUCGGAUGGGGUGCACACACACCCCUCUCCGCGCGUGGCACCGCAGGGCCCAGUGUGUCCACUCUCUGUCUGGGAGGAAGCCGAGCAGACCCCCUAUUCCUGCCCAUGCCGAGCCACCUGUGGGCGGUAGCAGGGCCAAACACCGACGACGCCGGGGAGGCCAGGGCGAUGCACCGCUACUUGUGCCCAGCGGUUAGACCCUGGACGGCGUGGCGUCGGAGCGACCUGCGACAGUGAACACGCCCGUGCCAUCCAUGCGAUAGGCCGCGUGCCAGCGCGUCUCGGACGCAUGUCACCCUCGGCCUUCGCACCGCCUACUGGUGCGGGGAGACCCCGCGUGUCACACCCCGAGGGGGUUGGGGGGUGGGGAAUGCGCCAGGGGUGGCGACCCGCGAGGCGGGGGUUUGUGAGCAGGUAGCGUGUGAGGCCCAGGCCCUGCUCAGGUGACUGAGUCGGCGCGGUGCUGCAACUCGCGUGUGUGUGCGGCCGCUUCGCACGACGCGGAUGGUUGGGUGGGGGGCCUGUGCUCGGUGAGUGUGUGUGUGGGGGGGGAGGGUGGCGUUGAGUGGAGCUCGCGUUGCACGGCAGCGAAGUGGGUACAAGAGGGAAUGGCGGGGCUGGCAUCUCCUCUUUUCCGUUUUCCGUUUGAUGCACAGUGGGGUAAGGCGGCUCCACGAUCUUGUGUGUGUGCGUGAGAAUGUGGAAGUGGCCCUCCCCUCAGCACGGCGUCUUCUUUUUUUUUUCGCUCUCCUCGUUGCCGAUGAGGGGUUUGCGCUGCGCCGAGACGAACUUCAUGUGGAGGAAUGCCAGAACAACGCCGAGAGCCGCACGAGCGGCCAACAAGAGGACUAAGACAUGAAGGACAGUGGUGCGCCCGUCAAG